AAGGGAAAAACAAGAAAAACCUAGGUGGAAAUUCAAAGAAAAAGUGAAGAAAUCAAGGAAACAAGCUACGUAAGUUAGAAUUUCUUUAAUUUUCCUUGAUACCUAGCUUACCCAUGCUUUUGUUCUUGAUUUUCAUGGUUGAAUAUUGAGUUAUCAUGAUGAAUUCAAUUCUGAAAAAUGGGUAUGGAAAAGGAAUUGUUGUUGUAAUAAUUUGAUUCUAGACUAUGUUACUGUUUAGGGAUAGUUAAGCAUAGUUAUGAACAAAAACACAAAAAAAAUAUUCAAUUUCUCUAGGGUUCCUCGUUGGUUGAACCAUGAGGGCUGAAUAUCAAUGGGAAAUUGUUUUUAUUUCAAGGAAAAUGGCUUGAAAAAAUAUGAAUUAAGGUGGAACGGUUAUGUAGAAAAAAUUUCGGUGCUAGUGCACCAAAUGAUCGAAUUUUUCUAUAAGGAACUGUGAGGGUUCUAAUGCUGAAUUUGGCUUUAUUUAAAUGGUAUGUGGUAAAUUAAGGGAUUAGAGGAGAAAUGGAUUAAUUUGGAGGUGAUUUGGACACAAUCGCUAAUUAAUCGGUGAUCGAUCGAAUUUAAUCGAUACCGCGAUUAAGCGAUAAUCGAACGUAUUUUUUCAUUUACAUAUCAAGCAUUAGUAAUUUAAAUUAGUUUAUAUCAAUUUAGGGACAAUAUAGUAAAUUCCUUGACUUUGUUAUUUGUCAAGGUAGUGAGACGUCCGAAAAAGGUAAAAGAAUUGCACCUGAGGACUAUUAGUCCGAGUGCCCCCGAAAUCCAGAUUUUCUAUAUUGGUGAGUGGACUUGCAUUUCAAACUUGUUUUGGGGAAUAUGAAAGAUUCUAUCCAACUUGUCUUAGAAAAUGUACCUUGGGAACAAGCUUUUGUUAAAUGGUUUGAUGUUGUGAUAUGUGAUUGCUAUGGAUUCAUGCACUAUUGUAGUAUGAUGAUAUAUAUAUAUGUGUGUUGUGCAUGAUGAAUGAUAUUGUGUAUAAUGACUAUAACCGUGUGUGUGCACGAUGUGGGGGGAUGCACAUGCCGGUGAUGAUGGUGGCGUGAGAGAUGGAUGAUGAUAGUGCCCGUGUGCACGAUGUGGGGGGAUGUACACGAUGGCACUGAUUGUGCACGAUGUGGGGGGAUGCACACGAUGGUGCCGGCUAUGUGCACGAUGUGGGGGGAUGUACAUGAGUCGGGUGUGAUUAUGAUGAUAUUGAUGUUUGUCUAUCUAAUUAUGCAUAUCUAGACUUAUGAAAUGAAAGCUCAUGAAUGUGAUAUAUGGUUGACAUAUAUGUGAAAUUUGAUACAUUGCACUUUGGGAAUUUUCAUGAGUUUUAUGUUGAUUUUGUUAGUUUAGUAGGAUGGCCUUUUUGUUGAGUGAAGCAAAACUUUUCUCUUGUUGCUCUGUUUCGCUGCAACGAGAAACUCUCGGGUUUGAGGGCCUUCACCAUAACUGGUUCUCGCUACAAUAAGAAGCUUUCUAUCCAUUUUGCUAACUUGUGAAUUUUUGCCAUAUUUCCCAUUUCUUUGGUACCAUAGUUGAGCAUGAAUUUUUAUAAAGUGAUUUACUCAUGUGGGCUUUACAUGAGGGGUUUAAAGGAGCUAAAACAAUUGCAUGGUUUUGAGAAAAUGAAUGCAUCAUGAUUUCGAUAAACAUUCUUUAUGGUAUGCUUGUUACCUUCUUGUUCACUCACUGAGUAUUGUACUCACGUUUUAUAAAUAUUCAUGUUUUAAGAUCAGGUGACUGUUGACCCUAGAUCGAGGAGUCCUCGUAGUGCAUCUCCUGUGUAUGUGUCUGGCAUUCGAUAGUAAUCCCUUUUAUUGUAAAUGUCUCCGUUGGAAGUCAUAGGUCCUUUUGUAUUGUGAAUACAAUCUAACAAUGUGAAUAUGUGUAUGCAAUGUAAAUUGCUACAUACAUGACUGAUAUAGUGCAUGUAUAUUAUUAUCGAUAAUGCCAUUGUGUUUUGGCUAUGUUCACACCCAGGAAAAUGUGUGUGUGUGUAUGCAUGAUAUGAUAAAUUUGUUAAGUAAAGGUAAAUGGAUAGGCUUGCUUGGG
This 2055-nucleotide long non-coding RNA is filed under the name Theobroma cacao (cacao). RNAcentral describes it as "long non-coding RNA (TCAC_LNC003981)". The record is from RNAcentral. Lineage: Eukaryota; Viridiplantae; Streptophyta; Magnoliopsida; Malvales; Malvaceae.